GGAGGUCCGAACCCACGAGCGUUGAAAAGCUCGGGGAUGACUUGUGGGUAGCGGUGAAAUUCCAAUCGAGCCCGGAGAUAGCUGGUUCUCCCCGAAAUAGCUUUAGGGCUAGCCUCAAGGUGAGAGAUACGGAGGUAGAGCACUGAAUGUCCUAGGGGGUAUUGCACCUACCGAAGACUAUCAAACUCCGAAUGCCGUCAUCUUAUACUUGGGAGUCAGACUGUGGGUGAUAAGAUUCAUAGUCGAAAGGGCAACAGCCCAGAUCGUCAGCUAAGGUCCCUAAAUGUAAGUUAAGUGGUAAAGGAUGUGGGAUUGCACAGACAACCAGGAUGUUGGCUUAGAAGCAGCCACUCAUUCAAAGAGUGCGUAAUAGCUCACUGGUCGAGUGAUCCUGCGCCGAAGAUUUCCGGGGCUAAAACUUACUACCGAAGCUACGGCAUCAGUAAUGAUGGGUAGGGGAGCUUCCCAUACGGGUUGAAGCAUGACCGUAAGGACAUGUGGACAGUAUGGGAGUGAGAAUGUUGGCAUGAGUAGCGAGAUGUGGGUGAGAAUCCCACAGGCCGUAAACCCAAGGUUUCCAGGGGAAGGUUCGUCCGCCCUGGGUUAGUCGGGACCUAAGCUGAGGCCGAAAGGCGUAGGUGAUGGACAACAGGUUGAUAUUCCUGUACUACCGAUAACCGUUUGAGAGAAGGGAUGACACAGUAGGAUAAGCUAAGCACACUGUUGGUUAUGUGUGCCCAAGCAUUGAGGCAGUCAAAGUAGGCAAAUCCGCUUUGAUAAUGCUGGGAUGUGAUGGGGAGCGAAAUUUAGUAGCGAAGUAGCUGAUUUCACACUGUCAAGAAAAGUCUCGAUCGAGGUUAAAGGUACCCGUACCGCAAACCGACACAGGUGGGUGAGGAGAGUAUCCUAAGGCCAGCGAGAGAACUGUUGUUAAGGAACUGGGGAAACUGAACCCGUAACUUAGGGAUAAGGGGUGCC
This 978-nucleotide ribosomal RNA is filed under the name Clostridioides difficile. RNAcentral's name for it is "bacterial LSU rRNA". It matches the Rfam family "Bacterial large subunit ribosomal RNA", at positions 768 to 1752 of the family's 2925-position model. Lineage: Bacteria; Bacillati; Bacillota; Clostridia; Peptostreptococcales; Peptostreptococcaceae. The record is from RNAcentral.